AUCAAUCUGAGGUGAGGCCUUCGAGCACCUUUUAUGUUGGUUGUGAUGAGUAUAGAAAGUAUCGGCCAAUAGUUUCAUAUUCAUGCUUCUUUCUUUUCAUAAUUAUGUAAAUUCUUGUGCUACUGGUGCGAUGCCGCCGCCGGCGCGAGAUCCGCGCCCCCGUACCAAGUCACGUCGAGGAAGUCCGCCACCACGCCACUAGGGCUUUGCCCGGCGACGCCCUGGGCGGUGGUGGGAGAGGAGGUUGAGGAAGGUGAGGUUGAGGGAGGGAGGAGCGGUGGCCGCCCAGCGCGGGGCGGUGCCGGCGCGGGAGGAGAGAUUAGGGUGCAUGAUUAUAUCAUUUGAGAAAGAAGAUCUGCGGUUAGAUAUGCUUUUAAGUAGUUUACUGACUGCUACUAAUUGUUUAGAUCACUUUAGUAUCCCAUCUUUUGUUUUCUGGUUUUGCUCCAGGUUGCCCUCUCAGUUCUUCUGUUAGGCGCUCUUAGAUGAGGACUUCAAGCCCCAAGUAUCUCACACACGCAGUCCCUCUAUUUGUUUUCUUAGAGGGGAGGUCUUCAAGCCCCUCUUCUGUUCUUAUGUUCUUGCAUCCGGUUGUGGCUUUAAUUUAUUUUUGCCUCACUUUUAAAUUUCCCUUAGAUAAUCUUACCAUUACUAUGAUAUUAAUAUUUCAUGUAAAUCAUGGUUCAUCAAGCAUAAUCAGUACGUCUUUCCGAAGAUGUUCUAUUUUAUAUAUGCGCUUUUUUUUGCAUAAAAGCAACUGCAUCUCUCUUGUGGCACUAAUGCAUGCCUAUCUUUUUAAAUUUCCUUAAAUAAUCGGUUAUUUAAAGAUGAAUCUCUCUUGUGGCACUAAUGCAUCUCUCUUGUGGCACUAAUGAUCUCUUGUGGCACAAAACCAGAAAUUUUCUUGUGAUUUUAAGAUUUUGUUGCACAAAAGAUGAAUAUUUGCAAGCAUAGAUAUGCAUGUGAGUGAGCAAUUGAAAUGCCACUUGUAAACAACUCUUGGUGACUAAAACUAUUUAUGUUGUUACUUACCAUGCAGAGAAUGCCCCAGUUGUGCUUACUGGUACCAUGAUAAGACAGAGUUGAGACAUAUGUAUAUACUUUGAAGGUCCAUCCUCGGCCGUGUUAAUUCAUAGUGAUGCCUUCUUCAUUGGAUUCCUCCCUUUAUAAAGCAACCCACGGAAAAUCCAUAUUAGAUUCAAGAAAGAAGAGAAAAGGAACAAUCCAAUAGAAAAGGAGCAAUCUCUUUGCCCUCACAUGCGAAUGAAGAGCAGCAAAGCCGUCCGGCUGUUCUGCGGAGGGCCUGAGGGUGUCACCAGCUUGCCGCCUCCGUCCCGGGCUCCGGUGCCGUUCGGGAGAUUGAGGCGGCGGUCGGCCGGCUUAGGGGUCUGGCCUGCCUGCCGGCUCGCCCCGUCUGCGCCUUCUUCCAUGACCCACACUGCUGGCAUGCUGCGUCGGCGUCACGUGGAGAAACAACCGUUGUGCACGCCCUUCACGGCGAGCUCGGCUGAUGCCUAUGACGGCAAGAUUCCGAGAAAGCUUGCUCAUGGUGCUGCUGGUAGGACAUGUUCUGUGCCCAGAUCAAACAUCCCAUUACCCAGGUGUGUCGGUAGUGGUCAGAUGAUGGGCUCAUAAAAUGGUGAGAGAUGCCUGCCAACGCCCCUCCUCCUCGGACCAUUCUCGUCUCCGUUAGGCAGCUCCUAUUCCGGAUUGGUGAAAGGCAAAAGCAUUGCCGGUUGUCAACACAAUUAGAGGGCCAAUGCUCAAAUGAUGUCCUAUCGAUAGGCCUGACAAGGACAGCCCUGCUGCAGAGUGGGGGAGAAGUUGCAGUCGACGAGAAUUAUGUUCAGAUGCUGCAAAUGAUGGAUUGAUGUUAUCUCUGUACAGUGACAGGCCCCUGUGUUUGCCUUGGAGCUAAUGAUGUAUUGGUGUUAUCUCUCCGCAAUGUCAGGUGCAAUAAGAUUUGCAAAGCAACCACUAUUUUAGGUGGGUAUUAGACAGUAGUGUGGUUCUUUCAUGGACCUGACAGGUGAUUUAUGAUGAUAGGUCUCUAAGAUAUAUCUGCUAACAUUCUAUUUCUCGCUUUAUAGAUGUGCAGUUAUAGCUUUGAAUGUUGUAUUUGGGUGGCGGAAGAUUCUUACACUUGGAACAUUACAUCAGGAUGAGGCUCUGGAAACAAGCUAUGUGAAUCCUUUCUGAUGGCCAGCCAAGAUACAUGUAAGAUAACAAUUGGUAUCUCGAUCCUCUAGGUAAUGCCUUUGUUUUCCUAUUUUGAGUCAACUGGUGUAAAUUUCAUUCUUUGUUGUUGUCUAAAUUAAUGCAAUCAUUAUAAGAAAAUAGGAGAUCCUUUAGCGCAGACAGUGCUUCCAGAUCAUGCCCUUUGUUUGGUUGCUUGAGGUGAUCCCUUUCAGUCCGUCCUAUUCUGCUACUCGAUUACAAAUGUGAGGAUUGCCUUCCAAUACACAGUCCACUUUAUGCGACCAUGCUCUGGAAGAUGCAAACCACCUGCUCAUGCAAUGCCCUUUCUCAGGUGAGGUUCGGAUAAGAUUGUAUCAAGCUAAUUGUUUGGAGCCUAAAAAACAGGACACAUCUGGGAAUGGUAUUACUGGGCUAGAUGCCCAAGAUUAAAACACAGAGAGGUGGCAGCAAUUGUGAUUCCAGGAAUGAGGAAACUAUGGCGAGCAAAAAAGGCUAUGAGUUUUGACUGUAAGACUGCAAAUCUGCAACAAGUUUUACAGGUGGCCUUGCAUGAAUUGGCACUGUUUGAGGUGGCCAAAACAAUGGUAGACAGGGGUGAGUAGUAGUCCGGAUUUUGUUUUAGUGGAGAUGUCUUGUAAUCACUCUUGUAACUGAUCUAUGCCGAAUUUGAUGAAAUGACAAGCAACCUUUUUUAGUUGCCUCUUUAAAAAAGUACUUUGGUUUACACUUCAC
This is a non-coding RNA of Lolium perenne, 2931 nucleotides long. The record is from RefSeq and is a predicted model, not a curated record. Lineage: Eukaryota; Viridiplantae; Streptophyta; Magnoliopsida; Poales; Poaceae.